Molecule: unclassified non-coding RNA, 231 nt
Filed under: uncultured fungus
Lineage: Eukaryota; Fungi
Description: sequence contains ITS1, 5.8S rRNA gene
Rfam family: 5.8S ribosomal RNA (bases 183-231)
Source: RNAcentral
UCUCCGUAGGUGAACCUGCGGAGGGAUCAUUACUGAGUGAGGGCCCCCGGCCCGACCUCCAACCCUUUGUGUAUCUCGACCCUGUUGCCUCGGGGGCGACCCGGCCUUCGGGCGUCGGGGCCCCCGGCGGACCACUCAACUCUGCAUCUUUGCGUCUGAGUCUUAUAUAUGAAUUAAAUCAAAACUUUCAACAACGGAUCUCUUGGUUCUGGCAUCGAUGAAGAACGCAGC